GGCAGAAGCGACAUGACAGAGCUGACUAGACUUUGAAGAUCUCUAGUUCCCCGGACCUCCCACCCCACGCCCCACUUAUUGCCUUUAACUACCCCUCCUCAGCCCCACUUUUAAAUCUUGGCAAAUUCCGGGGCUGGAGCAAGGAAAUCUCCUGAAUAUGUAGCUGCAUUUUAGGGGAUCAAACGUUACAGGGAACGAAGGCUUCUUGCGCAGCCUGCUUUAGUCCAUCCAACUCAAUGAAAAAAGAAAGAAAAGAAAAGAGCUAAUUCCGGGACUGCCCAGUUCGCUUUCCCCUUAGGUCCGAGGCCAGGAGCUUGCAGCAAACGGCCGAAGGUGAGACAAGUGGGUGCAGGGUCCCUGGAGCUCUUCCUAUCUCAUGGGGCGACUUGGGAGGUGCAGCGGGCCGAUAGCAUUAGUCGGUCCUCGGGGUUUGGAGGAAGGCCGGCGAAUAAGGACCGGCGUCACCCUCCAGGAAGGGCACCACCGGCGAUUCAGUAGUCUGGAGACGGGGUUGUCUCAACCCAGACCCAAAAACCCCGACUUAACUGAAGGGAUGGAGGCAGGACCCCGGGGAAGGUGACUGCAGUGCACUUGGAAGCCGAGGGUUGAGUAACCCGUCCGACGGGCAGGCGCGGCGUCCGGUUACCAUGGUAGUCGUGGGCGGAGCCGGCGAGCUCCACCGCGCGGGGAGACUGCGGUCCAGUGAAGCCAAGUCACCUGCGGAGCUGGGCGAGGAGCAGGUGCAGCCUCCCUGCAAUGCGCCAGUUCCGAGCGCUCCAGGCUCGGGAGCCUGAGACCCAGGGUGACAGCCACACCCUGCAGCAGCCACCUCAGCUUCGGCCGUGCUUCCUGUUCCUCUGCGGAAUCCGGGUUGGGUGGCCACUCGGUCCCCAACACCUGUUGGGACGUAGAAGAGGGGCUGGACACGCGUAAGGUUUGAAAAGACUCUUUCACCGACUCAGUUGUAUCGUGUGAAAUCGAUACAUCCAGAACGAGCUGUAUAACUCUGGGCGAAGGAAGCGAUCAUACCUUAUUUUUAAAGACGAUUUCCACUGUCGUUACAACCUUGAGGUUUGUACAAAGAGGAUGGGCGAGGCAGCCAUGUGUUGUCUGUGAUCUUAUGCAGGAAUGGAUGGUGAGAGGCGAUGGUGGAAGAUCACAUCACCAAAUUAAGGUCUUGCUAAGUUGCCGUGGCUGGCCUUGAACUCGUGAUCCUCAACCUCCCAAAUCACCAGGAUUAAAGAUGUUCAUGCACCACUGUGCUGGGCUUCCUUCAAACCCUUCUUGGUUUUCCUCAACAAAUUUAAUUGUGUUUCUCCCUUUCAUCUGUUACUACUUGUACUUUCUGAUAAGGAGAACAGCUGCACUUAACUGCAUUGUUGAUUUUUAAAAUGUACUUUAGUUUUUGUUAACCUAUAAUUGUACAUGUUAUGCAUUGUUGGUUUUUCUAAACAGACUUUUUCAGACUUAAUCAGCUGCCCUGGAGUCUACAUUAACUGAACUUUUUGGUUUGGAAAUUAUUUCAUCCUGUGUCUUCAAUGAAAUGAUCCUUUAUUAAAAUAAGCGAGUAUUUAAUAAUUUGUUUAUUUCUUUAUUAGUUUUUUCUGAGAUCAAAGAACCCAGAAAAGUUGUCUUAGAGAUGUAAUUUUUCUGGAUAACAAUGAUUUAAUGUGUAUUUCUGGCUUUGGCAAAAAUCAAAUAAUCCACUCUACAACAACACAUUGCUUUAAUUAAAUUUUAUUUUUCUCUGGAUAUGAUACACAUUGCAGAAACACAAUCAAUGAGCACUGACAGUUUGUUUAAAUGUUGUUCUUUGUCCUAUUAUACAAUUUGUUGUGUCAGUGGCUCUCAAGUGGUAGGCUCCUGCAGUUCAUCAUCUGAAACUCCUUCCACACAUGCUGAAAAUCUCAUUAAUUUGUAUGUUUUAUUCUUUAUACCUAAGUAUAUAUGCUUAUGACUGGAAGAGAAAAUGCCCCACUUUUCAUCUCAGAGAAUUAUUUGGCCAUGAGAAUAACUGAUUCAUGCCCUCCCCCUUCCACCCCUAGUACUUAAGUAGAGAUUAUUGGAGAAAUUUAUGCCUUAUAAAUCUAGCUGAUAUUAAAAAAAUGAAAGGGGUGUAGCUUAGUGGUAGAGUGUGUACUUAGCAUGUGUGAGGUCCUGGGUUCAAUUUCCACACUCCCACCAA
Molecule: non-coding RNA, 2185 nt
Organism: Ictidomys tridecemlineatus (thirteen-lined ground squirrel)
Lineage: Eukaryota; Metazoa; Chordata; Mammalia; Rodentia; Sciuridae
Source: RefSeq, a predicted model, not a curated record